Saccostrea echinata is the source of this 421-nucleotide long non-coding RNA. RefSeq lists it as uncharacterized. The record is from RefSeq and is a predicted model, not a curated record. The transcript has 3 exons. Lineage: Eukaryota; Metazoa; Mollusca; Bivalvia; Ostreida; Ostreidae.
CUUGCCUCAUUUUAGAAAUUGUUCUUACAUAGAGCAUGCUGUUGUGUUUCGAAUCAACUAGGAGACAUAAACCUCAUAUGCAGGUGUGAAGGCUGUAUUAUACCUUUGAAUAAUUCAAAAUGGAGUAAUGUGGGCAUGUUUAACAAACUUUUUGCUAGUAUUUUGUCAGGUUAUGUGACACUAUCCAGUCUUCAUCAACUCCACCAAGAAAGAUGUUUCAUCUCAAUGAGUGCCUCACCAGUAAUUUGAUUGAUUUAUUGCUACAUUUUAUAAAGGAUUGGCUUGCAUUGACCCAACAGUGAAGAGAAAUCCCCUAAAUCAACUGAGGACAACCUUGAAAGAUUCAGAUGUAGACCAGCAGAGCCAAGCAGAAGCAACAGGAUAUAAAACCAUCUAGCAGCAGCCAAGCAGUCUCUAAUAG